AAUAAAGUGUCUGAUUAAAGUAAUAAAAUGUAAAUUUAUUUAAAGAAAAUUAUUUCUCUUUAUUA
RNAcentral lists this transfer RNA (65 nucleotides) under Helorus sp. ZJUH_2016017. RNAcentral's name for it is "tRNA-Tyr". Lineage: Eukaryota; Metazoa; Arthropoda; Insecta; Hymenoptera; Heloridae. The record is from RNAcentral.